RNAcentral lists this non-coding RNA (25 nucleotides) under Mus musculus (house mouse). The record is from RNAcentral. Lineage: Eukaryota; Metazoa; Chordata; Mammalia; Rodentia; Muridae. RNAcentral also lists the same sequence under 1 other name.
UAUGUGCCGGGCUAUGUAGCAGUGA